GGGGCGCCCGGGGGCCCGGGGAGGGGCUGGGGAAGCCGAAGGGGUGCAGGGCAGGCUGGGAGCCGGGGCACUGAAGUCUGAUUUCUGGAAAAGAAUCACUCAUCUGCCGUGGUGUCUCAAACACCUGCUAUGUGCCAGGCCUGGUGCUGGCUGACCCCCAGUUACAAGGAUCCCGGCACCCCAUCCGCACACUCAAGGGUCCCCACAUCUGCUCACAGAGCUGUUUACGCAGUGUCCUGGCAAACACAGGUGCCACUGCUUCUUAUUAGACCCGCAGACAGAUUCCACUACAAGCUACUUCACACGACCCUUGCUUCAUUUACUGUUCGCUUCCUGCAUUUGCCUUACUCAUUUGUUCUCGGGCUCCGAUGGGAAAGAUAAACGUGUGUGGGAAAAGAGACUGCAGAUCUGUAGUCACCUGUAGGCUCUAGCCGACAAGAGAAUCCUUGCAAGCGGACGUCACUUCACUUCACCCUUCUGUGUUGAUCUAGAUCUAGAGGCAUUCUUCGUGAAGACAGGGAGCAGGCUGCUUCGUAUCUUAUCCUGUCUGGACAGUAAACUGCUUUUGGAAUGUUGGGCUCCCUCCCCCUGGCUGGGUUGGCUUCUCCUGUUGACAGGGAGAGGGAUUCUGCUUGGCGUGCGUCCCUGUCUGUGUCACGCCCGAGGCUGCCCAGUGGGAGGUGGGUAGCAGCAUGCCUGCUGUCUCACCUGGUGCAGGAGCAGAAUGUGGGAGCCUGCAGCGUGGGUCACAGAGGAGAGUCUCUGGCUUUGAGGGCUGACAUGCUACGGCCCACCCUGUGCACCGGCAUCCACCAGCUGUGGCCUGCGGUGUCAACAAAAUGGACUUGUUACUAGCACUGCUCAGCUCUGGCUCAUGGUGAUUCAGGGGACUGAACCUGGGACUUGGGAGUCUUAUGCAGGAGAGUCUCUGCAGAGCCACCGCGCCAUCUCCCCCAACCAUCUAAAAAUGGAGAGCCCUGCUCAGCUUCACUGACGGUGCUGCUGGGGAUUGACCUGGGGUUUUGGUGCCUCCAGGCAUUGAAGUCUUUUUGCGGAACCAUUAUGCUGUCUCUGCAUGUGAAGAUUAUUAUUUUUUAUUUAAUAAACGUGUUCAUAUUUA
Long non-coding RNA from Erinaceus europaeus (western European hedgehog), 1120 nucleotides. RefSeq lists it as uncharacterized. Lineage: Eukaryota; Metazoa; Chordata; Mammalia; Eulipotyphla; Erinaceidae. The transcript is spliced from 4 exons. The record is from RefSeq and is a predicted model, not a curated record.